This 77-nucleotide transfer RNA is filed under the name Bacillota bacterium. RNAcentral's name for it is "tRNA-Lys". It matches the Rfam family "tRNA". From Rfam's summary of the family: Transfer RNA (tRNA) molecules are approximately 80 nucleotides in length. Their secondary structure includes four short double-helical elements and three loops (D, anti-codon, and T loops). The record is from RNAcentral. Lineage: Bacteria; Bacillati; Bacillota.
GGGCCAUUAGCUCAGCUGGUUAGAGCACCUGACUCUUAAUCAGGGUGUCCGGGGUUCGAAUCCCUGAUGGCCCACCA